AGCAAUCCGCUCCGGUCCGCUUUUGCGCUGUGGUAGCCUUGUUCUUUCGCUCUUUGCACUAACUCUUGCUACUGCUCACUUUUUGGGUCCACACUGCCUUUAUGAGCUGUAACACUCUCUGCGAAGGUCUGCAGCUUCAUUCCUGAAGCCAGCGAGACCGCGAGCCCACCGGGAGGAACGAACAACUCCAGACGCGCUGCCUUAAGAGCUGUUAACACUCACAGCGAAGGUCUGCAGCUUCACUCCUGAGCCAGCGAGACCACGGGCCCACCGGGAGGAAGGAACAACUCCAGACGCGCUGCCUUAAGAGCUGUAACACUCACCGGGAAGGUCUGCAGCUUCACUCCUGAGCCGGCAAGACCACGAACCCACCAGAAGAAAGAAACUCCGAACACAUCUGAACAUCAGAAGGAACAAACUCCAGACACGCCGCCUUCAAGAACUGCAACACUCACCGCGAGGGUCCGCGGCUUCAUUCUUAAAGUCAGUGAGACCAAGAACCCACCAAUUCCGGACACAGUAGGACAGGUCUGGUGUUGAUAAAAUCCUUCAAUUUUUGUUUGUCUGGGAAAGUCUUUAUUUCUCGUUCAUGUUUGAAGUAUAUUUUCACCAGAUAUACUAUUGUAGGGUAAAAGUGUUUUCCUUCAGCACUUUAAAUAUGUCAUGCCACUCUCUCCUUGCCUAUAAGGUUUCCACUGAAAAGUCUUGCUGCCAGACAUAUUGGAGCUCCAUGGUGUUUUUGUUUGUUUUUCUCUCUUGCUGCUUUUAGGAUCCUUUAUACUUGAUCUUUGAGAGUUUGAUUAUUAAAUGCCUUAAGGUAGUCUUGUUUAGGUUAAAUCUGCGUGGUGUUCUAUAAACUUCUUGUACUUGGAUAUUGAUAACUUUCUCUAGGUUUAGGAAGUUCUCUAUUAUCCUUUUGAAUGACAUUUCUACCCCUAUCUCUUUCUCUACUUCCUCUUUUAAGGCCAAUAACUUAGAUUUACCUUUUUGAGGCUAUUUUCUAGAUCCUGUAGGUGUGCUUCAUUAUUUUUUAUCCCUUUUUUUUUUGGUGGUCUCUGACUAUUUUCAAACAGCCUAUCUUUAAGCUAACUAAUUCUUCUGGUUGAUUGAUUCUAUUGUUAAAAGACUCUGAUGCAUUCUUCAGUAUGGCAAUUGAAUUUUUCAGCUCCAGAAUUUCUGAUUCUUUUUCAUGAUUUCAAUAUCUGUUAAAUUUAUCUGAUGAAUUCCUUCUCUAUGUUAUCUUGAAUUUCUAUGAAUUUCCUCAAAACAACUAUUUUCAAUCCUCUGACUGAAAGUUCACAUAUCUCUGUAUCUCCAGGAUUGGUCCCUGGUGCCUUAUUUAGUUCAUUUGGUGAGGUCGUGUUUUCACGGAUGGUGUUGAUGCUAGUAAAUGCUCUUCAGUUUCUGGGCAUUGAAGAGUUAAGUAUUUUUUGCAGUCUUCACUGUCUGGACUUGUUUGUAUCCAUCAUUCUUGGGGAGGUUUUCCAGAUAUUUGAAAGGGCUUGGGUGUUGUGAUCUAAGUUGUAUCUGCUUCAGGGCACAACCCAAGCCCAGCAACACUGUGGUUGUUGCAGACUGACAGAGGUACCACCUUAAUCAUCUUGGACAAGAUCUGGGAGAAUUCUCUGGAUUACCAGAUAGAGACUCUUGUUCUCUUCCCUUACUUUCUCCCAAACAGAGUCUCUCUCUUUGUUCUGAGCCACAUGAAGCUGGGGGUGGAGUGAUACAAGCACCCUUGUGACCACCAUCACUAUGACUGCACUGGGUCAGACCUGAAGCCAGCAUAGCACUGGGUCUUGCUAGAGGCCUCCUGUAACCACUCCUUGGCUACUGCGUGUGUUUGCUCAAGGCUCUGGGGCUCUAUAAUCAGUAAGUGGCAAGCCAUUCGGGUCUGUAUUUUUCCCUUUAAUGUGGAGAGUUCCCCCAGGCUGUAUGCAGGUCCAGAGGUGCCAUCUGUCUUGACAGCCAGGGACUAGAAUCAAAAACCUAAGAAGUCUACCUGGUGCCGUAUUGUACUGUGGCUGAGCUGGCACUCGAACCACAAGACACAGUCCUUUUCACUCUUCCCUCCCCUUUCCAAAGGUAGGGCAGCCUCACCCUAUGGCCACUGCCACCUCAGGCCCACAGGGAGUAAUGCUAGACUACUGCCAAUGUUCCCUUAAGUCCUGAGGGCUCUUCAGUCAGCUUUUGGUGCAUGCUGCCUGGCCUGGGACUCACCCUUCAAGGCAGUGGGCUACCCUCUGGCCCAGGACAGGUCCAGAAAUGCCAUCCAAGAGCCAAGUCCUGGAAUUGGGGACCCCAAGAGCCUACUUGGUGCUCUACCCCUGUGGCUGAGCUGGUAACUAAAGUCAGCAGGUCUCAGAGUCUCACCCAAGGCCCUUGAUGUAGUAUCUGGGUAUCACUGGUGUUUAUUCAGGGCCCAAGGGCUCUUCAGUGAGCAGGUGAUGAAUGCUGCCAGGACUGGGUCCUUUCCUUCAAGACAGUGGGUUCCCUUCUGGCCCAGGGUAUGUCUAGAAAUGCCCAGAAGCUAAGGUCUGGAAAGGCAGCAUCAUGACUCUGACCCAUGCCCUAUUCUUCUGUGGCUGAGUUGGUAUCUAAGAUGUAAGAUAAAGUCCUCCCCACUAUUCCUUCUCCUCACCUCAAGCAAAAGGAAGGGGUCUAUUCUGGAGCCACAAGCUGUGCUUCUUGGGGUUAGGAAAGGGGUGAUGCCAAGCACUCCCUUAGUCACCCCAACUGGUGUCUCAGUAUGUCUCCUGCUCCCCCAGUCCACUGUCUCUGGGUCCAAUUCAGUACUAGGAGUCUCCUAGGAGUUGUAGUCCUUGUGGCCUAGACUGCCUUUCAAGUUUAUUUAAAGCCCCAGAGCACUUUAGCCCAUGGUGGUGAGGCCUGUGGGAACUAGAGUUCUGAUCUCUGGGAUCAGUGAUUCCCCUCUGGCUAGGGCUGGUUUAAAUGCUCCCUCUGUGGGCGGGUGUCAGCUGAGUUUGGUCUGGUUUUCCUUUCUGCUAUAACAAGGGCAGCACCUAGUCAAUGCAUCACAAUUACUGGGUUCUCCCUUCCCCAGAGCCCAGAGAUACUCUGGGCACCAUGGGCCCCUGCUGGGGGUGGGGGAGGGGUGGCGCUGCGCAGUUGAUUCAAGACUGUUUUUUCUUUUACCUCUUUAGUGCCUCUUUCAGCCAUACGAAGUUAAAACCAGGUACUGUGAGUGCCCACGUUUUUUGGUUCUUAUGAAGGUGUACAUAAUUGUUAAAUUGGUGUCCUUGCAGCAGGGGUUGGGGGACAGGACAGAUCAGUGGAGCUUUCUACCAUCUUGCUCUACCUCCUCCCUAUUUUACAUUUUGAUAACCACCAUUCAGUGGCCUCCCUUGGG
RNAcentral lists this long non-coding RNA (3367 nucleotides) under Homo sapiens (human). RNAcentral describes it as "HSALNT0330263". The record is from RNAcentral. Lineage: Eukaryota; Metazoa; Chordata; Mammalia; Primates; Hominidae.